Molecule: ribosomal RNA, 522 nt
Filed under: uncultured bacterium
Lineage: Bacteria
Description: bacterial SSU rRNA
Rfam family: Bacterial small subunit ribosomal RNA
Source: RNAcentral
CCUCUGACCGCUCUAGAGAUAGAGCUUCNCUUCGGAGCAGGGGACACAGGUGGUGCAUGGUUGUCGUCAGCUCGUGUCGUGAGAUGUUGGGUUAAGUCCCGCAACGAGCGNAACCCCUAAUAUUAGUUGCCAGCAGGUAAAGCUGGGCCCUCUAAUGUGACUGCCGGUGACAAACCGGAGGAAGGUGGGGAUGACGUCAAAUCAUCAUGCCCCUUAUGACCUGGGCUACACACGUACUACAAUGGCCAGUACAACGGGAAGCGAAGUCGCGAGAUGGAGCGAAUCCCAGCAAAGCUGGUCUCAGUUCGGAUUGCAGGCUGCAACUCGCCUGCAUGAAGUCGGAAUUGCUAGUAAUCGCGGAUCAGCAUGCCGCGGUGAAUACGUUCCCGGGUCUUGUACACACCGCCCGUCACACCACGAGAGUUUACAACACCCGAAGCCGGUGGGGUAACCGCAAGGAGCCAGCCGUCGAAGGUGGGGUAGAUGAUUGGGGUGAAGUCGUAACAAGGUAAGCGUAGUGCU